CCCUUGUUCGCCUUUUGGCAGCUCGCCGGACCAGGUUUUUAGCGCGCGUUCAAUGCGGGCCGCCAGCGUCGCUUCAUUUGCCGGUAGCGAGGUUAAGCCGCCGCCCGUUUUGCCUGCAAGCUGCAUCAGCGCGGCGAUAUCCGCAUGUUCGACAGGACGAAUCACCCGCAUGAUGCGCCUCCCGUCUGAAGGCGUUCGCACGCCAUGGCAAAACGAUCAAGCCCGGUGGCUAUCUCCUCGUCGCUCACAUUUAACGCUGGCGCAAAACGCACCACGUCGCCGCCGGCAAUGAGCACCAUCACGCCUGCUUUUGCCGCUUCCUGGGCGAUG
RNAcentral lists this unclassified non-coding RNA (330 nucleotides) under uncultured fungus. RNAcentral's name for it is "partial internal transcribed spacer 1". Lineage: Eukaryota; Fungi. The record is from RNAcentral.